UUAGUGGCGAACGGGUGAGUAACACGUGAGUAACCUGCCCUUGACUCUGGGAUAAGCCUGGGAAACUGGGUCUAAUACUGGAUACGACCUUCCAUCGCAUGGUGGUUGGUGGAAAGCUUUUGUGGUUUUGGAUGGACUCGCGGCCUAUCAGCUUGUUGGUGGGGUAAUGGCCUACCAAGGCGACGACGGGUAGCCGGCCUGAGAGGGUGGACGGCCACACUGGGACUGAGACACGGCCCAGACUCCUACGGGAGGCAGCAGUGGGGAAUAUUGCACAAUGGGCGCAAGCCUGAUGCAGCGACGCCGCGUGAGGGAUGAAGGCCUUCGGGUUGUAAACCUCUUUCAGUAGGGAAGAAGCGAAAGUGACGGUACCUGCAGAAGAAAGCGCCGGCUAACUACGUGCCAGCAGCCGCGGUAAUACGUAGGGCGCAAGCGUUAUCCGGAAUUAUUGGGCGUAAAGAGCUCGUAGGCGGUUUGUCGCGUCUGCCGUGAAAGUCCGGGGCUUAACCCCGGAUCUGCGGUGGGUACGGGCAGACUUGAGUGAUGUAGGGGAGACUGGAAUUCCUGGUGUAGCGGUGAAAUGCGCAGAUAUCAGGAGGAACACCGAUGGCGAAGGCAGGUCUCUGGGCAUUAACUGACGCUGAGGAGCGAAAGCAUGGGGAGCGAACAGGAUUAGAUACCCUGGUAGUCCAUGCCGUAAACGUUGGGCACUAGGUGUGGGGGACAUUCCACGUUUUCCGCGCCGUAGCUAACGCAUUAAGUGCCCCGCCUGGGGAGUACGGCCGCAAGGCUAAAACUCAAAGGAAUUGACGGGGGCCCGCACAAGCGGCGGAGCAUGCGGAUUAAUUCGAUGCAACGCGAAGAACCUUUACCAAGGCUUGACAUGAACCGGAACGGCGCAGAGAUGUGUCGGCCACUUGUGGCCGGUUUACAGGUGGUGCAUGGUUGUCGUCAGCUCGUGUCGUGAGAUGUUGGGUUAAGUCCCGCAACGAGCGCAACCCUCGUUCCAUGUUGCCAGCGGGUUAUGCCGGGGACUCAUGGGAGACUGCCGGGGUCAACUCGGAGGAAGGUGGGGACGACGUCAAAUCAUCAUGCCCCUUAUGUCUUGGGCUUCACGCAUGCUACAAUGGCCGGUACAAAGGGUUGCGAUGCUGUGAGGUGGAGCUAAUCCCAAAAAGCCGGUCUCAGUUCGGAUUGAGGUCUGCAACUCGACCUCAUGAA
RNAcentral lists this ribosomal RNA (1221 nucleotides) under Arthrobacter tumbae. RNAcentral's name for it is "bacterial SSU rRNA". It matches the Rfam family "Bacterial small subunit ribosomal RNA", at positions 92 to 1324 of the family's 1533-position model. The record is from RNAcentral. Lineage: Bacteria; Bacillati; Actinomycetota; Actinomycetes; Micrococcales; Micrococcaceae.